GAUGAGAUGCCUGACAAAAGGGCUACUUUGAUAGAGUAGAUCACGUGGGACACCCUACUCUCAUCA
Molecule: transfer RNA, 66 nt
Filed under: unidentified
Description: Epeorus gibbus tRNA-Ile
Source: RNAcentral